AUUGAACGCUGGCGGCAGGCCUAACACAUGCAAGUCGAACGAGUGGCGGACGGGUGAGUAAUGUCUGGGAAACUGCCUGCUGGAGGGGGAUAACUACUGGAAACGGUAGCUAAUACCGCAUACCAUCGGAUGUGCCCAGAUGGGAUUAGCUAGUAGGUGGGGUAAAGGCUACCCUAGGCGACGAUCCCUAGCUGGGCUGAGAGGCUGACCGUCCACACGGGAACUGGAACACGGGCCAGACUCCUACGAGAGGCUGCAGGUGGGAAUAUUGCACAAGGGGCGCAAGCCUGAUGCAGCCAUGCCGCGUGUAUGAAGAAGCCCUUCGGGUUGUAAAGUACUUUCAGCGGGGAGGCGUUACCCGCAGAAGAAGCACCGGCUAACUCCGUGCCAGCAGCCGCGGUAAUUC
Molecule: ribosomal RNA, 406 nt
Filed under: uncultured bacterium
Lineage: Bacteria
Description: partial 16S ribosomal RNA
Rfam family: Bacterial small subunit ribosomal RNA
Source: RNAcentral